Molecule: ribosomal RNA, 399 nt
Filed under: Triticum aestivum (bread wheat)
Lineage: Eukaryota; Viridiplantae; Streptophyta; Magnoliopsida; Poales; Poaceae
Description: partial small subunit ribosomal RNA
Source: RNAcentral
AUGCUCACGCGUGGGGGAGCGGUGCUGCUCCGGCGAGCUCACGCGUGGGGGAGCGGUGCUGCUCCGGCGAGCUCCUUCCCCCUCGAGCACGGCGCGUCGUCGACAGCCUCCAUCCUCUUCUUCCCUCUUCCAUCAGCCGAGCACAACUCCGUUUCACAGGUCCUUCAGAAAAUGGGAAAAGUGGGUUUUCUUCCAUGUUUAUCUACAAAAUGUUUCAAUGCCUCUGUUUAUAGGAGGCACGGAGAUGUUUCCUGGACGGAUGUGCAAUCUGGUUUAAAUGGGCGAUGGCACAAAAUUAGGCUCUUAGGAGUCGGAAUGGCGCUCUUAGAUGCCCAUUUGAUUUCAGUGGAGCUGGUGCUUGUGUGUUCAGAUGAAGACAUGAAUUGUGUGAGGGAUUAG